This 253-nucleotide ribosomal RNA is filed under the name uncultured bacterium. RNAcentral's name for it is "partial 16S ribosomal RNA". It matches the Rfam family "Bacterial small subunit ribosomal RNA", at positions 524 to 776 of the family's 1533-position model. The record is from RNAcentral.
UACGGGGGUUGCAAGCGUUAAUCGGAAUUACUGGGCGUAAAGGGUGCGUAGGUGGUUUGAUAAGUUAUCUGUAAAAGCCCUGGGCUCAACCUGGGAAGGCCAGAUAAAACUGUUGAACUAGAGUAUGGGAGAGGGUAGUGGAAUUUCCGGUGUAGCGGUGAAAUGCGUAGAGAUCAGAAGGAACACCAGUGGCGAAGGCGGCUACCUGGACUGAUACUGGCACUGAAGCACGAAAGCGUGGGGAGCAAACAGG